RNAcentral lists this ribosomal RNA (380 nucleotides) under uncultured eukaryote. RNAcentral describes it as "partial 18S ribosomal RNA". It matches the Rfam family "Eukaryotic small subunit ribosomal RNA", at positions 592 to 976 of the family's 1831-position model. The record is from RNAcentral.
CAACAGCGUAUAUUAAAGUUGUUGCAGUUAAAACGCUCGUAGUCGGAUUUCGGGGCGAGCGGGCCGGUCUGCCGAUGGGUAUGCACUGGUCUGGCCGUCCUUCCUUCCGGAGACCGUGCGUGCUCUUAACUGAGUGCGCUCGGGAGACGGAUCGUUUACUUUGAAAAAAUCAGAGUGUUUCAAGCAGGCAGCUCGCUCUUGCAUGGAUUAGCAUGGGAUAAUGAAAUAGGACUUUGGUGCUAUUUUGUUGGUUUCGAACACCGAAGUAAUGAUUAACAGGGACAGUCAGGGGCACUCGUAUUCCGCCGAGAGAGGUGAAAUUCUCAGACCAGCGGAAGACGAACCACUGCGAAAGCAUUUGCCAGGGAUGUUUNCACUGA